GAUGAACGCUGGCGGCGUGCCUAAUACAUGCAAGUCGAGCGAACAGACGAGGAGCUUGCUCCUCUGACGUUAGCGGCGGACGGGUGAGUAACACGUGGAUCACCUACCUAUAAGACUGGGAUAACUUCGGGAAACCGGAGCUAAUACCGGAUAAUAUAUUGAACCGCAUGGUUCAAUAGUGAAAGACGGUUUUGCUGUCACUUAUAGAUGGAUCCGCGCCGCAUUAGCUAGUUGGUAAGGUAACGGCUUACCAAGGCGACGAUGCGUAGCCGACCUGAGAGGGUGAUCGGCCACACUGGAACUGAGACACGGUCCAGACUCCUGCGGGAGGCAGCAGUAGGGAAUCUUACGCAAUGGGCGAAAGCCUGACGGAGCAACGCCGCGUGAGUGAUGAAGGUCUUCGGAUCGUAAAACUCUGUUAUUAGGGAAGAACAAAUGUGUAAGUAACUAUGCACGUCUUGACGGUACCUAAUCAGAAAGCCACGGCUAACUACGUG
This 497-nucleotide ribosomal RNA is filed under the name uncultured bacterium. Its description in RNAcentral is "partial 16S ribosomal RNA". It matches the Rfam family "Bacterial small subunit ribosomal RNA", at positions 28 to 507 of the family's 1533-position model. The record is from RNAcentral.